CCUACGGGUGGCUGCAGUGGGGAAUAUUGGACAAUGGGCGAAAGCCUGAUCCAGCCAUGCCGCGUGUGUGAAGAAGGCCUUCGGGUUGUAAAGCACUUUCAGUGGGGAAGAAAGCCUUGGGGCUAAUACCCUCGAGGAAGGACAUCACCCACAGAAGAAGCACCGGCUAACUCCGUGCCAGCAGCCGCGGUAAUACGGAGGGUGCGAGCGUUAAUCGGAAUUACUGGGCGUAAAGCGCGCGUAGGCGGGCUGAUAAGCCGGUUGUGAAAGCCCCGGGCUCAACCUGGGAACGGCAUCCGGAACUGUCAGGCUAGAGUGCAGGAGAGGAAGGUAGAAUUCCCGGUGUAGCGGUGAAAUGCGUAGAGAUCGGGAGGAAUACCAGUGGCGAAGGCGGCCUUCUGGACUGACACUGACGCUGAGGUGCGAAAGCGUGGGUAGCAAACAGGAUUAGAUACCCCUGGUAGUC
This 466-nucleotide ribosomal RNA is filed under the name Vreelandella stevensii. RNAcentral's name for it is "partial 16S ribosomal RNA". It matches the Rfam family "Bacterial small subunit ribosomal RNA", at positions 338 to 795 of the family's 1533-position model. The record is from RNAcentral. Lineage: Bacteria; Pseudomonadati; Pseudomonadota; Gammaproteobacteria; Oceanospirillales; Halomonadaceae.